CCAGCUGGCUGGGUGAUUGCUGUUGCGAUGUUCGAAAGAAUGCAAUGGAGGAAAGUCCGGGCUCCAUGGAAACACGAUGCCGGGUAACGCCCGGCUGGGGAGGUGUCUCACCAAACCAAGGGAAAGUGCCGCAGAAAAUAUACCGCCGUUUACGGUAAGGGUGAAAAGGUGGGGUAAGAGCCCACCGCACGCGCCAGCAAUGGCAGUGGCAGGGUAAACCCCAUCGGGAGCAAUACCGAAUAGGGAUAGCGCGGAGCAGCAAUGCUCCUGUUGGUUUCCAGACCAGUUAUCCGGGUAGGUAGCGUUGAGGUGACUGGUAACAGUCAUCCCAGAUGAAUAAUCACCGCGUUUGGACCAGGUUCGCCCGGUUCAGGCCGUACAGAACCCGGCUUAUAGGCCGGCUGGCACU
This 409-nucleotide RNase P RNA is filed under the name Rhizobiaceae bacterium. RNAcentral's name for it is "RNase P RNA component class A". It matches the Rfam family "Bacterial RNase P class A". From Rfam's summary of the family: Ribonuclease P (RNase P) is a ubiquitous endoribonuclease, found in archaea, bacteria and eukarya as well as chloroplasts and mitochondria. Its best characterised activity is the generation of mature 5'-ends of tRNAs by cleaving the 5'-leader elements of precursor-tRNAs. The record is from RNAcentral. Lineage: Bacteria; Pseudomonadati; Pseudomonadota; Alphaproteobacteria; Hyphomicrobiales; Rhizobiaceae.